Molecule: long non-coding RNA, 1529 nt
Organism: Metopolophium dirhodum (rose-grain aphid)
Lineage: Eukaryota; Metazoa; Arthropoda; Insecta; Hemiptera; Aphididae
Exons: 10
Source: RefSeq, a predicted model, not a curated record
AUGAGCAAAAAACUUACUGCGUUUCGAAUAAUUUUAUUUUUCAUUAAUCACAAUAUUCUAAGUUCUGGCUGUAUUCUGGAGCGUUUCCUCGUGGGCGUCGCAGUUCACACACGUCACGGAUUCCGCCGAAAGAGUCGAUAAUUAAAACUGAACUUUUGGAUCGAAGAUAUGCAUUUUCCUUGGCGGAGAUGCACAGCUGUGACACUAGACAAUAUUAUACACUCGAAGGGAACGCGUUUCGCCGGAAGAAUAAAUAAUUACAAAUGGUAUUCGUCAGUGAAAAUUUUCAAACUGGGAAUAAUAUUAUAUCAUAAGCAGAUUGAAAUGUGUGAACGUUUCAGUGCUUCGAAGACUAAGUUUCGUAGCAGAUUUUGAUUCCGUCACGGGAUUUUGGAGAUUUUAGUUUGAAGUUUGAAUGUGUAUUCCUACAAUAUAAUUUAUUUAAAUGCCGAUCUGUAGCGUCGUGAAGGUUACAAACCUAAUUACAUAUAAAUAUUGGAAAAAGAGACAUGCCUUAUUUUUGAAGUUCGCCCAAUGUAUUCUGAUGGACGAGGAGAGCUUUCCCGAGACACACAGUGCCUAUAAUGGCAGAAAAGUGUGACCAGGUGAAAGUGGCUGUGGACCCGUUUUGCGGCGCCGGCGGAAAUAUAAUCCAGCUUGCCCGACGUAUAUUGACGUAGACAAGAUAGUGAUGGCCAAGCAAAAUGCCGCGAUUUAUGGCGUACUUGAGAAGAUUGAGUUCGUUGUUGGAGACUUUUUCAAACUGGCAAAUCAGAUACAGGGUAACUUUAUAGUCACAUCGCCACCAUGGGGCGGUCCAGAAUACAACAAAAUGGAUGUUAUCGAAAAUGUGUUUAUUUAAAAACUGUUUAACUCGACGUUGCUGUAUGUCUGGUCCAAUAAUAACAAUGCCGUAUCAGACGUCGCUCCCAAACCGGUCGACAUCCAUCUGCAUAGCUCAUUCCGCAAGAAUUAGCGGUAUAGUUUGAAAACUUACCAAAGUUAUCUGGUGGAUGUCGAUACGUUGGUGAGCAGCCGUCACACAUCGGUCUGAUGUAGCUAUGGAAAGUUAUUAUUGGAUCGGUCAUAAUAUUACGUUGAGAAGUUAUCUGUUCAUGAACUCAUUUGCAGAUUUGUUGAGGUGUAACAGCAUUUUAGGGGCUAUUGUAAUUCCCACUUUAUCAUACAUAUAGCCCGAUGACCUACAUUUUUGUGUAUUCUGGUCUACCCUAUGAUGACCGCGAAGUAACGAUCACGUCACCGUUUAACAGAUUGCCCAGUUUAAAAGAGUAUCCAACAAUUUCAUCGGAUAGGUACGCCAUAAAUCAUGGCAUAGCGCUGGGCCAGCAUAAUUUUGUCCGGAUCAAUAUCUACAAAAAUGACAUCCCAAUUAUUAGAAGCUAAUAAUAUAGUGUCUUUGUCGAACAGUCAGCUGUACGAAAUUUCCGCUGCGCCACAAAACGGGUCGACGCCGGUCGCUGAACAUGGGAAGUCCUCAAGUCCACCCAGAAUCGUAUUGAUGAAUCAAC